CCUACGGGUGGCUGCAGUGAGGAAUAUUGGUCAAUGGGCGCAAGCCUGAACCAGCCAUCCCGCGUGAAGGAAGAAUGCGCUAUGCGUUGUAAACUUCUUUUCCAGGGGAAUAAAAUUCUUUACGCGUACGGGAUUGAAGGUACCCUGGGAAUAAGCAUCGGCUAACUCCGUGCCAGCAGCCGCGGUAAUACGGAGGAUGCGAGCGUUAUCCGGAUUUAUUGGGUUUAAAGGGUGUGUAGGCGGAUGUGGAGAAAACCGUCAGCUUAACUGGAGACUUGCCAUUGAUACUGUUAGUCUUGAGUGUGGUUAAGGUAGGCGGAAUGUGUAAUGUAGCGGUGAAAUGCUUAGAUAGUACACAGAACACCGAUUGCGAAGGCAGCUUACUGAGCCAUAACUGACGCUGAUGCACGAAAGCGUGGGGAGCGAACAGGAUUAGAUACCCCAGUAGUC
Molecule: ribosomal RNA, 450 nt
Filed under: uncultured bacterium
Lineage: Bacteria
Description: partial 16S ribosomal RNA
Rfam family: Bacterial small subunit ribosomal RNA
Source: RNAcentral